GUGCUCACUUCAGCAGUACAUAUGCUAAAAUAGGAAUGAUACAGAGAAGGUUAUUAGCAUGCCCCCUGCACAAGGAUGACAUACAAAUUUGUGAAGCGUUCCAUAUUUUU
This is a small nuclear RNA of Jaculus jaculus (lesser Egyptian jerboa), 110 nucleotides long. NCBI's taxonomy places the organism in Eukaryota, Metazoa, Chordata, Mammalia, Rodentia, Dipodidae. The record is from Ensembl.